This 259-nucleotide long non-coding RNA is filed under the name Mustela putorius furo (domestic ferret). RNAcentral's name for it is "lncRNA (ENSMPUG00000032099.1)". Lineage: Eukaryota; Metazoa; Chordata; Mammalia; Carnivora; Mustelidae. The record is from RNAcentral.
UUACACGUUGGGGCCAAUAGCCCUACUGCUGAGGAGCUCUAUGUAAAAACCAGGAUCAGCAAGCGGUCUUGAUGUUUUCUUCUUGGAGUUGGAUGUUGUCAAGGAUUCAGAUGAGCCACCCCAGUCUCAGACAUCUCAACUCUGAGAGACACAACUAGUUCUGAAGAAUAUGGAGCCUACGUAGAUUCAUAAGGUAAAUGAUUAAUUUCAAACUAUGACACAAUGGAUUCAAUUAUAGGAUGAAAUCCAGCAUUGUAUA